UUCGUCUCACGUAACUGGCGAAAAAGCAGGGGCUUGCAGCUCCGGCGACAAGGUGGAGAUCCACCGGGGAACGUGAGAUGUCUUUCGCCGUUCGCCUGGGCAGCCCAA
Molecule: non-coding RNA, 108 nt
Filed under: Noviherbaspirillum autotrophicum
Lineage: Bacteria; Pseudomonadati; Pseudomonadota; Betaproteobacteria; Burkholderiales; Oxalobacteraceae
Also listed under: 1 other name
Description: Herbaspirillum sp. TSA66 ZMP/ZTP riboswitch aptamer (pfl RNA motif)
Rfam family: ZMP/ZTP riboswitch aptamer (pfl RNA motif)
About the family: Previously known as pfl RNA.
Source: Rfam by way of RNAcentral